CGCGCAGAUUAGAUAGUUGGUGAGGUAACGGCUCACCAAGUCAAUGAUCUUUAGGGGGCCUGAGAGGGUGAUCCCCCACACUGGUACUGAGACACGGACCAGACUCCUACGGGAGGCAGCAGUGAGGAAUAUUGGACAAUGGGUGGAAGCCUGAUCCAGCCAUCCCGCGUGAAGGACGACGGCCCUAUGGGUUGUAAACUUCUUUUGUACAGGGAUAAACCUACUCUCGUGAGGGUAGCUGAAGGUACUGUACGAAUAAGCACCGGCUAACUCCGUGCCAGCAGCCGCGGUAAUACGGAGGGUGCGAGCGUUAUCCGGAUUUAUUGGGUUUAAAGGGUCCGCAGGCGGGCUAGUAAGUCAGUGGUGAAAGCCUACAGCUUAACUGUAGAACUGCCGUUGAUACUGCUAGUCUUGAGUAUAGUUGAGGUAGCUGGAAUGAGUAGUGUAGCGGUGAAAUGCAUAGAUAUUACUCAGAACACCGAUUGCGAAGGCAGGUUACCAAGUUAUAACUGACGCUGAGGGACGAAAGCGUGGGGAGCGAACAGGAUUAGAUACCCUGGUAGUCCACGCCGUAAACGAUGCUAACUCGUUUUUGGGCUUUAGGGUUCAGAGACUAAGCGAAAGUGAUAAGUUAGCCACCUGGGGAGUACGACCGCAAGGUUGAAACUCAAAGGAAUUGA
This 680-nucleotide ribosomal RNA is filed under the name Riemerella anatipestifer. Its description in RNAcentral is "bacterial SSU rRNA". It matches the Rfam family "Bacterial small subunit ribosomal RNA", at positions 232 to 913 of the family's 1533-position model. Lineage: Bacteria; Pseudomonadati; Bacteroidota; Flavobacteriia; Flavobacteriales; Weeksellaceae. The record is from RNAcentral.